UACGUAGGGUGCGAGCGUUGUCCGGAAUUAUUGGGCGUAAAGAGCUCGUAGGCGGCCUGUCGCGUCGGAUGUGAAAGCCCGGGGCUUAACCCCGGGUCUGCAUUCGAUACGGGCAGGCUAGAGUGUGGUAGGGGAGAUCGGAAUUCCUGGUGUAGCGGUGAAAUGCGUAGAUAUCUGCAGGAACACCCGUGGCGAAAGCGGCGCGCUGGACCACUACUGACGCUGAGGAACGAAAGCUAGGGGAGCAAACAG
Molecule: ribosomal RNA, 252 nt
Filed under: uncultured bacterium
Lineage: Bacteria
Description: partial 16S ribosomal RNA
Rfam family: Bacterial small subunit ribosomal RNA
Source: RNAcentral